RNAcentral lists this transfer RNA (57 nucleotides) under Dolomedes angustivirgatus. RNAcentral describes it as "tRNA-Thr". The record is from RNAcentral. Lineage: Eukaryota; Metazoa; Arthropoda; Arachnida; Araneae; Dolomedidae.
GAUUGGUUAGUUUAAGUAAAACAUAAGUUUUGUAAAUUUAUGAUCUAUUGAUAAUUA